RNAcentral lists this ribosomal RNA (441 nucleotides) under uncultured bacterium. RNAcentral describes it as "partial 16S ribosomal RNA". It matches the Rfam family "Bacterial small subunit ribosomal RNA", at positions 338 to 795 of the family's 1533-position model. The record is from RNAcentral.
ACUACGGGGGGCAGCAGUGGGGAAUAUUGCACAAUGGGGGAAACCCUGAUGCAGCGACGCCGCGUGAGUGAAGAAGUAUUUCGGUAUGUAAAGCUCUAUCAGCAGGGAAGAAGAAAGACGGUACCUGACUAAGAAGCCCUGGCUAACUACGUGCCAGCAGCCGCGGUAAUACGUAGGGGGCAAGCGUUAUCCGGAUUUACUGGGUGUAAAGGGAGCGUAGACGGCUGUGCAAGUCUGAAGUGAAAGCCCAGGGCUCAACCCUGGGACUGCUUUGGAAACUGUGGAGCUAGAGUGCUGGAGAGGUAAGUGGAAUUCCUAGUGUAGCGGUGAAAUGCGUAGAUAUUAGGAGGAACACCAGUGGCGAAGGCGGCUUACUGGACAGUAACUGACGUUGAGGCUCGAAAGCGUGGGGAGCAAACAGGAUUAGAUACCCCAGUAGUC